This is a long non-coding RNA of Aphis gossypii (cotton aphid), 2053 nucleotides long. RefSeq lists it as uncharacterized. The record is from RefSeq and is a predicted model, not a curated record. NCBI's taxonomy places the organism in Eukaryota, Metazoa, Arthropoda, Insecta, Hemiptera, Aphididae. The transcript has 3 exons.
GACUACUUAACUCACAGGCCACGGUCGCGGUGAAUGAAAUUUAAUAUUUUUUUUCCCCGUGUUGGCGCAGUGAAUUUUUUACCCACCACAACAACGACCCAUCGAUCAGAAUUUUCCCCCCUCGCCGCGCGAAUGCCUCGGUUAUUAUUAUUAUUGUUUUUUACCACUCCGUAUUUUUUACCGCCGCGCGACACGCUACAUAGCAGUCUCAAUAAACGCGCGCGUGCCGUCGUCGACUGAUCGCUGCCGCCGUCGCAUCUGUUGGCGGCGACAUGAUUACGAUAACAUACUUAAUUCGUAAUAAUUAAUAUUAUUUAAUCGUGUUCGUCGUUUCGAUUCAUCGUUUGAGAAGUACACGAAUUGCCGCCGUUUUACGCACAAUUCUUAAAUAAUUGGACAUCAUAUCAGUGUUAUCGUCUUCGCGAACGAUAUCAACAACACGACUGCUGAAGACAACAACGUAAACAACAACAACAAAAUUAUAUUAUAAUAAUAAUAUGUAAAACCGUAUUAUCGGGAUUUCGUUGUGUAUGUUCGCGGUCGUUCCAUCCGGCAAAUCCGAUACAAUGCUAUUAUCUAAACGUGAUAAGACAGUCCGUCCGUGUGCGUGUGCGAGUGUAUUUUUUAAUAAUUUUUUUUUACCGUAAUUCCGUUUCGGUUUUUUUUUUAUACUCCUUCACUCACCGAUUUCUCCGAACUCGAAAUGCGUGUGCGUGAUUUUACGACUACCACGACUAACGCGUAUGUGUAGUGUGUACGACCGACGACGUCGGCGCGGCGGCGGCUACACCGCCGAGGGCCGUAAUCGCUCGUGUGUGUGUAUUUGUGUGGGGGGAGGGGAAGCGCGUCGUCGACGUCGUCAACGCGGCGACGGCCCUUUAUUGAUUUUUCCGUAUUCGCGUUUCGUUUAGUUGUUGUUGUUGAUAAGGAGAGUGAAUUUUUUCCGUCAUCGGUCGAUAAAAUUUUUUGCGGGGGGGUUCCUCCACCACCAGUUGUGGUCGUUCGUCAACCACCACUACCGUUGUACCGCCACUACCUCUUCCGCCUCGGUCGCCUUCACUGCCUCCGGCCGCAGCUCGACAACGUCGGCGACGACGGCCGAUACAUGAAAAUAUUUACGGAACCGGAACUAAUGGCAGGAAAAGGCGCACGCACGCACGCACGCAUACUCGACACGCACACGAUGUGUAAACAAACAAGCGUACGGAAGACGGUGACCGAAAACGGCGAAGAGUACGUUCAGUCAUCGAUUCAGCGGGGGCGAAAACGACCAAAAAAUGCAUGAAGACGACGACGACUUUAACAAUAACAACACGGCAUCGUAGAAUGCCACUAACGAGUAGUGUACUCACGUUUUCUUGUGUGUUCGGAUUGUCGCAAGUUCCAGACAACGAAGAUGAAUGGCGUUCCGAGGAAUCUGGUCAGCAAAAGCUUUCUGUAAUUAAUAGGACGAUAUAAAUUAUCGUCUCGUCAUCGAUUUCUUGCCAGAUUAUCAUUAAUUGAUGAGUAUUUAGUUAAUUUAUUGAAAAAAAAAACAAUACCUACUGAUACAAGAAUAAUGAUUUUUUAAAGAACUGAACUGAUCGAUUACCAGAGACGUUUAAUACUUACUGAAUACUACAAAUUCACUGGUUUGCAUACAAAAGAAUGGUUAUCUCAAGAUACAGAAGACAUACCUGGCUUAUUUCCUCAUCACCUAGAUCCUGGUGCUAUUACUAUACGAACAACACCUAGCAGUGGUUCUGGUGGUAAGCGAAUGCGAAAUUCAUCAGCUCGGUCACCCGAUGAAGCAAGAUGGGUGUGUCCAACUUGUGGAAAACGAUACAAGUAUAGUCGUGGCUUAGCUAUGCAUAGGCGGUUAGAAUGUGGUAAGGAACCUAUGUUCCAUUGUCCCUUUUGUCCACAAAAAUGUCACCAAAAAGGUAAUAUGGUCAUACAUAUUAAGAAAAAACACCCUACCCAAUAUGAGGAACAAUCGCAAGCUGUUGUACAGGCACAUGUUAAAGCACAGCAUGUCCAAAGCGAUUAACACAAUUUUUUUCCCUCAGUAUUU